GUUAGGCGUAGAGCUGAGACCCGCCGCUCCAGCAGGAUGGAUUGUCGCACUCUUGUGAUCACUCUCUUAGUGUGGUGCUUGGUGGCCGGCAUGGAAGCCUCGCCCUUCCCUGAGAGUUCCAGACCAGCGCGUUCAGCAGAUCUUUGGUGCUGGUGCGGAGACUACCCGUGCCCGUGUGACGUCGCGCCCAAAUACUCCUUCUGAUUGGCCGCCCUACGUGUACAUCAAAGAAAAUGAAUUGAAAGUGCACACCACAUUUCCUUUUUUUUUUUUUUUUUUAUCACAGUUAUGCAUGUAUACCUUAAGUCACAAGUUUUACUCAGCACACUGCAAUUAGUACUUUUAAUGUUCCAUCAGAUGUCAUAAACUAUUCAGCCUCAGUCUGUGCAAUUGAAAUUAUUAAAAAUUGUAAAGCGGCACUUGUCUUUCCAUAAAAAAAAUAUAUAUAUAUAUAAGCUUGAA
Scylla paramamosain (green mud crab) is the source of this 462-nucleotide long non-coding RNA. RefSeq lists it as uncharacterized. The record is from RefSeq and is a predicted model, not a curated record. NCBI's taxonomy places the organism in Eukaryota, Metazoa, Arthropoda, Malacostraca, Decapoda, Portunidae. The transcript is spliced from 3 exons.